This 492-nucleotide ribosomal RNA is filed under the name uncultured bacterium. RNAcentral describes it as "partial 16S ribosomal RNA". It matches the Rfam family "Bacterial small subunit ribosomal RNA", at positions 29 to 507 of the family's 1533-position model. The record is from RNAcentral.
AGUGAACGCUGGCGGUAGGCCUAACACAUGCAAGUCGAACGGCAGCACAGUAAGAGCUUGCUCUUACGGGUGGCGAGUGGCGGACGGGUGAGGAAUACAUCGGCAUCUACUUUUUCGUGGGGGAUAACGUAGGGAAACUUACGCUAAUACCGCAUACGACCUACGGGUGAAAGCAGGGGAUCUUCGGACCUUGCGCGAUUGAAUGAGCCGAUGUCGGAUUAGCUAGUUGGCGGGGUAAAGGCCCACCAAGGCGACGAUCCGUAGCUGGUCUGAGAGGAUGAUCAGCCACACUGGAACUGAGACACGGUCCAGACUCCUACGGGAGGCAGCAGUGGGGAAUAUUGGACAAUGGGCGCAAGCCUGAUCCAGCCAUACCGCGUGUGUGAAGAAGGCCUUCGGGUUGUAAAGCCCUUUUGUUGGGAAAGAAAAGCAGCAGGUUAAUACCCCGCUGUUCUGACGGUACCCAAAGAAUAAGCACCGGCUAACUUCGUG